This 299-nucleotide ribosomal RNA is filed under the name uncultured bacterium. RNAcentral's name for it is "partial 16S ribosomal RNA". It matches the Rfam family "Bacterial small subunit ribosomal RNA", at positions 775 to 1067 of the family's 1533-position model. The record is from RNAcentral.
GGAUUAGAUACCCUGGUAGUCCACGCCGUAAACGAUGCGUACUAGGUCGGAGAGGUUCUCAUGCCCUUCCGGCCGUAGCGAAAGUGUUAAGUACGCCGCCUGGGGAGUACGGUCGCAAGGCUAAAACUCAAAGGAAUUGACGGGGGCUCACACAAGCGGUGGAGCAUGUUGCUUAAUUCGAGACAACGCGAAGAACCUUACCUGGGUUUGACAUGCAUGGAUUAACCUUUGGAAACUUAGGCCACGCCCUUUGGGUGGAACAUGCACAGGUGCUGCAUGGCUGUCGUCAGCUCGUGCCG